CCUAAUCUGGACGCAGAGGUAGGCUAAAUCCUGUUUGUCCAGAGAGUGUGCCAGGGCCAGGUAGGUCGACAGAGUCCCCGCCAGCAGGAGCCGGUCCAGGGACAAGGCCGGCAGGAACCACAGCACGACACCCAGCUCCAGGCACACCGGGUGGCGGAGGGCCAGUGCGGUGGUGAAACAGUAUGCCGUCCGGUUCAGGGCCCCCAGCACCGACUGGAGAGCCUGUUUGACGGGCGCCCAGGCCAGCAGACUGUGCUGGGUGGUGAAGAGAGCCAGCAGCCCCACGUCCACAACCAGGGACCAGAGGACGGAGCCGUCCUGCAGCGCCUCCGCCCACGGGAUGGAGUCUGAGGUUCAGGCAAACGACGGGAACAAGAGGAGGAGGGAACAGAACUGAACAUUAGUUAGUUUAAAUAACACAUACAGUAGAAACCUACUUUAUUUGAACUGUUUAAUCGUUUUCUCAUAACACUGUAGAGUUGUGUACAUUCCAUUCAUGGCCUGAUAACACGCGGUCAUCCACGGAGCCACUGAGAACACACCACUACUGUUCACAGGCACUCAGGCAUCAAACGUGUGACAGAAUUUACACAAUGUUCUAAAUGGAUUUACAUCAAAGACCAAUUGUCACUGCAACACAAAUGAACAUUUUGUCCAAAUAAAAUCGUUGAAUUUAAUUAAAUUCAAUUUGAGUUAAAUUAAAUCAAAUCAAACAAUUGAUGUAAUUUCCCUGAGAUCUUUGGAAAGUGUUUGUGUUUCCACUGAGGGACAACAAAACAAAUCGUUGUUGUUAGCUGGUCUUGUGUUUAGUUUUUUUGUGACCAUAGUGUUUUAUGGUUUGUUGUUGUGUUAUGUUAUUUGCCGUUGAACAGCUGGUGGUCAAACUACAAAAAAAACUUAUAAUGAUGUUGGGAUAUUAUUACUUUAGAGACCUCGGUGAUGUCGUGUGAGUGAAAUGUUUGUGGCUGCAGGAAUCAACACUUUCUGAUCUGUCCUAACAAAUCUGAUAUACUCUUAUAAACUUAUAAAC
Long non-coding RNA from Hippoglossus stenolepis (Pacific halibut), 1030 nucleotides. RefSeq lists it as uncharacterized. The transcript is spliced from 2 exons. NCBI's taxonomy places the organism in Eukaryota, Metazoa, Chordata, Actinopteri, Pleuronectiformes, Pleuronectidae. The record is from RefSeq and is a predicted model, not a curated record.